AGGUGGGAGGCGGUGCGCCCUUCAGAAUCCGGCAGGAAGGACAGAGUGGGCGAGUCAAGUGUGAAAAGACGGUGACCUCCUGUGCGUGUGACGUUGGGGUCAACUUUCUUACCGUGCGUGCCCCUCUCUGGGUCUCUCAUUCCCUGCACAUACGCACCUCUUCCCCCAGCUCCCUCUACUAGUUUCCGGCUGGUAACUCCUCCGUUUCAUUCAUCCUGGGGAGGCACCGAGGGGACCAGGAAAGUGGGGUGCAGGAAAUCAAAAUGGGGCGAAAAGGAGGAAUGGCCAAGGAGAGAAGCGAGUAAAUUUCGGACGAGCCAAAGGCCUCAGGGGCGUCCCAAGUUCUCACUUGAGUCCCCACCCCCUUCAAGAGAAAAAGAAAAGGUGAAGGAAUUUGCAGUUCUGACCAUGUUUUUGCUUUUGCUGUUGCCUCCGUUUGGAAUGAUCUCCCUCUCCCCGCUUGGUGAUUGCCUAUUCAUAUUUUAGGACCCAACUGGGGUCACUCUGAAAGUUUCUUGAGCCUUGCCCUUCUUCCUUCUCAAAGUACAGUUGCUUAGUUACCCCACCGAAUUUCGAGAACAUUCAAAAGAGAGAGCGAGUUCAAAACUGGACUGGCUUUGAUUACUGGCCUGGUCACUUUAGGUGACCUUGGGCAAGUUACAUAAGGUCUGUGAGCUUCAGGAUCCUUAUCUUUCAAAAGAAGUAACAGUGCGUGGAUCUUAGGGUUGUGGGAAUAAGACAAACAGGUACACAAAAAGGAAAAGUGGCUCUGGGGAAGAUCCGAGUGAGUCUACUCAAAGGAAUACUCAAUAGGAGACAAAGGUUUGGCAGAAAUUACGGAAACAAUCUGGAUCUCAGAGCACCAUCUUGAAUCUCAACAAGAAUAAUAUAUCUGGAAUUAACUAUUAUAGCUGGUGGCAACCUUUGCUAUUCCUCAGAGCAAGGUGACCAACUCAUCUUUGUUUUAGCACUUCAAGUCCUACAUCCGGAAAACCCCUCAGUACUGGGCAAUCUGGGAUGGCUGGUCACCCUACCUAGGAGUGUCGAAUUUCCUAUCCGUCCUGACUUUGAUCCUCUCAGGAAAUGUUUGGCAUUCACUGAAGACUGACCUUUAUGCAUAUCCAAGCAUCUCAUGUGGGAUUAACUCAUUAAGUGAGCUAACAUGUUGUAAAAUACUUUGCACAAUGCUUGAGAUAUAGUAUGCUCAACAAAUGCUAUUAUUUUAUUUCUUAUUUAUUUUUUGGCUGCACCACACAGCACAUGGUAUCUUAGUUCCCCGACCAGUGAUCGAACCCGUGCCCCCUGCUGUGGAAGCACAGAGUCUUAACCACUGGACCACCAGGGAAGUCCCAACAAAUGCUGUUAUUUAAGGGAGAACUGAGAGGAUAUUCAAUUUAUGACAGCAUGAAAGAAGGAAUAUGAGUUAGUGGGAAGGAGAUUCGAGUAUUCUGUACUUGUUUGCCUUCAUGACUUGUACUUACUAAAACUGUGAUAGCAGAGCGGUUGUGGAAGCAACAAGGAAGGAUAUGACUGAAAGUCACAGCCAAAGCUGGGCUUAUGCAGUUACAACCAUGUAAGCAGGGCAGUGAAAGCUGAGAGCACCCGCUAGUAGAAGUCUGUUAUUCCAACCGAGGGCACUUACAGCAGGUUGGGGACUGCUGUGCUGGUGGAGAGCAAAAGAUGUAAAGUAAGGAGACCUGAGAAGCAUCAGCUUCAGGAAAUACCAGGUUCCUCUUGAGACAAACUGUUUGCAAAGAAUUCCAUCUCAGGAGGAAAUAUGAACAAAACAAACAUUCCUAAGGCCCUCAAGACUCGGUUUCAUAAAUCAUGCCAGCAUUAGGUGAUGAAAGAGCCUGGCUUCCCUCCCUCGCAGCCUAAUCUGCUCUCCACUGCCCACAUUUUAACCAUUCCUGGCCGGGUGUACUGUUGGCUUCUACUUCUACUUCAGGCUGACUUCCUUCUAACUAUAAUCUUCAGACAAGUAGGAAGCGUUGCUGUCUGAAAGAACUGGGAGAAAGAUCUACUCAGAUUCUCGUCCUGGCUCUGAAACAACAUACUGUGGCCUUAGGUAAGUGUGGAUCUUAGUUUCCUCAAAAAUAAAAUGAAGGGGUGAUGGACUAAAUUUCCUCUCCUGUCAUUCCAUGCAUGACUCUGUGACAUAUCCUGGUAAAGGAUGAGAGUACGGGAGGUAACACAUCCUCUGUGAGCCACUUGAGAGCAAGAGGUUGUAUCUUUGUAGCCUUAGUACCUAAAUACAGUGUUGGUCAGUAACCGUUUAUGAGAUUUGUGGAUGAGAAUGGCUUGGGAUUCAAAAGACCCAGAUUUGAAUGCAAUUAUUGGUGGUACUGACUGUGGGUAACUGAGCAAAUCUGGUUCAGAGCACCUUAGCAUCUCUAUCUGCAAAAAAGCUGGAGUGCGAUUUACCACAGCCUUACGACUCUCCAGAAUUAAUGAAUGGCUGUGAGCGAACCUACAGCUGUGCAGGUGAAAAGAACUCUGUGUUUUCAAGAUCUUGGGUUAUCCCAGUCAACUGAAAUUUGCUUCCUAGGCAGAUGCAGGAUGAACAUGUAUUGCUUGCCCUGAUUUUAGACAAAAGACUACCCAGAAUAGGCUGUGAUUCUUUCAUCCGCUUCGCUUUUUGAUGAGAUCGUGCAGAAAGCUUUAGCCUGCGACAAUGAUUCUCUCUGGCUAACACAGUAAUCAAACAAGUCUUGCUGCUUCCCUCAGCAGAAACAAAUCAAU
Non-coding RNA from Delphinapterus leucas (beluga whale), 2742 nucleotides. The record is from RefSeq and is a predicted model, not a curated record. NCBI's taxonomy places the organism in Eukaryota, Metazoa, Chordata, Mammalia, Artiodactyla, Monodontidae.